GCUCUCCCCUGACAAGGAAGCCGACGGGAAGGAAGGUGCACGGAGCUACCAGGAUAAGUACCUGCACCAGCAAAAGAGACGGCCACCACGCCACCAGAAAGGGGACAGGGCUAUAAAGGGGAAUCAAAAGCACAGAGGGAUGCCUAUGGACAAUGGUAUCUUCAGCCAGCUGUUAGCAGGCCUGAAGUCCAGGUUUGAGGCUGAAGAAGGGGGAGUCAGGGAAGACAUGUCUAAGGAGCAGGAGAAAGAAGGUAAAGCAAUGGAUGAGUCCCCAC
Non-coding RNA from Meleagris gallopavo (turkey), 275 nucleotides. NCBI's taxonomy places the organism in Eukaryota, Metazoa, Chordata, Aves, Galliformes, Phasianidae. The record is from RefSeq and is a predicted model, not a curated record.